CGUGCAGCGCGGCCCAGGCGGGGUGCGAGUGGCGCAGUCGGAGCCCGCUGCGGCCCUUGAGGAAGCGAGGAGGCGUCAGUGUCGACUGAGGCGGGUGAACCGGCGAGGCGGCGGCUUCAAGCCCCUAGAGACUAAGGAGCUCGAGCAGCAGUAGCACCUCUUCCCCUAGGAAGCAGCGGGCGGCGGCGGCGGCGGCGGGAGCGGUGGUGCCCCACUCCCCCCGGGCACGGGGCCAUGUACAACGGGAUCGGGCUGCCGACGCCCCGGGGCAGCGGCACCAACGGCUACGUCCAGCGCAACCUGUCCCUGGUUCGGGGCCGUCGGGGUGAGCGGCCUGACUACAAGGGAGAGGAGGAACUGCGGCGCCUGGAGGCUGCCCUGGUGAAGCGGCCUAAUCCUGACAUCCUGGACCACGAGCGCAAGCGGCGAGUGGAGCUGCGAUGCCUCGAGCUGGAGGAGAUGAUGGAAGAGCAGGGGUACGAGGAACAGCAAAUUCAGGAAAAAGUGGCGACCUUUCGACUCAUGUUGCUGGAGAAGGAUGUGAACCCUGGGGGCAAGGAGGAGACCCCAGGGCAGAGACCAGCGGUAACUGAGACUCACCAGUUGGCAGAAUUGAAUGAGAAAAAGAAUGAGCGACUUCGUGCUGCCUUUGGCAUCAGUGAUUCCUAUGUGGAUGGGAGCUCUUUUGAUCCUCAGCGUCGUGCUCGAGAAGCCAAACAACCAGUUCCCGAGCCUCCUAAACCUUACAGCCUUGUUCGGGAGUCCAGUAGUUCUCGUUCACCAACCCCAAAGCAAAAGAAGAAGAAAAAGAAGAAAGAUAGAGGACGCAGGUCAGAGAGCAGCUCUCCUCGACGAGAGAGGAAGAAGAGCUCUAAGAAGAAGAAGCACAGGUCAGAGUCUGAAUCCAAGAAACGGAAGCACAGGUCUCCCACUCCAAAGAGCAAACGUAAAUCUAAGGACAAGAAGCGGAAGCGGUCUCGAAGUACAACACCAGCCCCCAAGAGCCGCCGGGCCCACCAUUCAACUUCUGCUGACUCUGCCUCCUCUUCUGAUACUUCCCGCAGUCGGUCUCGAAGUGCUGCAACAAAAACCCAUACAACUGCCUUGACAGGGCAAAGUCUUUCCCCUGCUUCAGGGCGUAGAGGGGAGGGAGAUGCACCUUCCAGAGAACCAGGUACCAACAACACAGGGCAUCCAAGCAGCCCAGAACCCUCUACAAAACAGCCUAGUAGCCCUUAUGAAGACAAAGACAAGAAGGAGGAGAAAUCUACAGUUCGACCUAGCCCCUCUCCGGAAAGGAGCAGCACAGGCCCAGAACCAUCUGCUCCCACUCUGCUCCUUGCUGAGCAACAUGGCAGCUCCCCACAACCCAUUGCAAAAACCCCCAUAAGUCAGGAGCCAAUGAAUCCCCCAUCUGAGGCUUCCCCAACCCGGGGUCGAUUACCACCUAAGUCUCCUGAGAAACCUCCCCAAUCAUCUUCAGAGAGCUCCCCACCAUCCCCUCAACCUACCAAAGUUUCUCGGCAUGCCAGCUCUUCCCCUGAAAGUCCUAAACCCACACCAGCUCCAGGGUCCCACCGAGAGAUUUCUUCUUCUCCCGCAUCGAAGAGUCGCUCACAUGGCAGAGGAAAGCGGGAUAAGUCACAUUCUCCUACUCCUCGUAGGAUGGGGAGGUCCCCUAGCCCUACCACCACGAAGAGGGGGCGAUCGCGGUCUCGAACCCCUACUAAGCGAGGUCAUUCUCGAUCCCGGUCCCCUCAGUGGCAUAGGUCCCGGUCUGUACAGAGAUGGGGGCGAUCUAGAAGUCCCCAGCGACGUGGCCGAUCUAGGUCUCCUCAGCGACCAGGCUGGUCCAGGAGCAGAAAUACCCAGAGAAGAGGCAGAUCUAGAUCAGCAAGGCGAGGAAGGUCACACUCCAGAUCCCCAGCUGCUAGGGGCAGAUCUCGCUCUAGAACACCAGCCAGACGGGGCAGAUCUCGCUCUAGAACACCCACGAGGCGUAGAUCACGAUCCAGAACACCAAACAGGCGUAGAUCUCGGUCUAGAACACCAGCCAGGAGGGGCAGAUCUCGGUCUAGAACACCGGCUAGGCGCAGAUCUAGGACCCAUUCAGUACGACGGAGGUCUCGUAGCAGGUCGCCAGCCAGGAGAAGCGGCAGGUCUCGCUCUAGAACCCCGGCCAGGCGUGGCAGGUCUUCCUCUAGGACCCCAGCCAGGCGUGCCAGGUCUCGCUCUAGAACCUCAGCCAGGCGAGGAAAAUCUCGGUCUAGGACACCAGCAAGACGAGGGAGAUCUAGGUCUAGGACUCCAGCAAGACGAAGAUCCCGUAGUAGAAGUCUAGUUAGACGGGGAAGAUCUCAUUCUAGAACACCACAAAGGAGAGGCAGGUCUGGCUCAUCAUCAGAGCGGAAGAAUAAAUCCAGAACAUCACAGAGAAGGAGCAGGUCCAACUCAAGCCCAGAAAUGAAAAAAUUCCAUGUUUCUUCAAGGCGGAGCAGGUCUCUCUCCUCUCCACGAUCCAAAGCAAAAUCUCGCUUGUCUUUGAGACGAAGCCUUUCUGGAUCCUCUCCGUGUCCUAAACAAAAGUCUCAGACACCACCUAGGCGUAGCCGCUCUGGAUCAUCCCAAUCUAAAGCUAAAUCUCAAACACCACCACCAAGACGAAGUCAUUCUGGUUCAUCUCAACCUGAAGGGAAAUCUGGAACACCACCAAGGCAAGGAUCUGUAACAAGUCCUCAGGCAAAUGAACAGUCUGCAACACCACAAAGACAGAGCUGUUCUGAAACAUCACCUGAUCCUGAGGUGAAGUCUAGGACCCCUUUGAGACAAAGCUGCUCUGUGUCCUCGCCUUCUGCAGUGAAAUCGAGCACAUCUCCAAGACGGAGCCGGUCUGGGUCGUCAUCUCCACAACCCAAAGUAAAGGCAGUAAAAUCACCAAUCCAGAGCCGUUCUGGUUCAUCUUCUCCAAGUCCUGGUAGGGUGACAUCUAAUACACCACCAAGGCAAGACAGAUCAGAGUCUCCUCGCUCCAAGGUGGAAUCUAUAUUGUUACAAAGACACAGCCAUUCUAGGUCCUCCUCACCAGAUACCAAAGUGAAACCUGGAACACCACCAAGACAAAGUCACUCAGGGUCUACUUCACCAAGCCCCAAAGUACAGCCUCAAACUUCACCAGGCCACAAUCUUUCUGGAUCAAAGUCACCAGGUUCCCAAGAGAUGUCUAAAGAUUCAUCAGCACAAAGUUGUUCUGGGUCCUUCUCACUCUGUUCAGGACUAAAGUCUAGCACACCACCAGGAGAGAGCUAUUUUGGCACUUCAUCUCUGCAGCAAGAAGGACAAUCUCUCACUUCACUAGAUUCUAGAUCUGACACUUCAAGUCCAGAAAGGAGACAGAAUCACUAUGACACACUAUCUCUGAAGAGCAAAUCUCAAACACCGCCUAAGGGUGGUCAAUCCAGGCCCUCUUCUCCUGUCACUGAGCCUGCACCCAGAUCUCCAACAACACAAGAUAGAAGCAAAUUGUCGGUGAGCCCUAGGCUGAAAUCUGGAAUGUCUCCUGAACAGAACAGAUCCCAAUCUGACUCUUCCCCAUAUCCUCCAGUGGACUGUAAAUCUCUUCUGGGGCAGAGUAGAUUGGAGCCUUCUCCUGAAUCAAAAAAGCAAACAGACUUACUCCUUCAGGAGGAUCUUACUGCAUCAUCUAUACUAAGUGACAAAUUGAGUCCUCCUCCAGUACAGAAUAGACCUGAGCCCUCACCAGUACUCAAAGAUACACCUAGAACCUCUUCAAAGGAAAGAGGUGGUGUUGGGUCAUCUCCAGAUACAAAAGACCAAAGUAGUCCAUCAGCUAAACCAAGCCAAGAUGAGGAGUUAAUGGAGGUAGCUGACAAAUCUGAAGUGUCCUCAAACCAGGUCUUGUCCCAUGUUUCUCCAGAACUCAAAGAAAUGGCUGGAAGUAACUUUGAAUCAUCUUCUGAAAAAGAAGAAAGGACUGCUGUGUCUUUGACUCUUGACCAAGGCCAGUUGUUGCAGGCUUCUUUGGAAGCAGAACUCCCUGCAGUGGCAUCAACUUGGAGUGGGCCACAUUAUUCUCCAGAACAUAAAGAACUGUCUAACACCUCUCCCAGGGAGAAUAACUAUGAGUCACCUUUAGAAUUUAGAAACUCAGGCCCUGUUGCAGAAAUAAAUACUGAAUUUUCUGCUGAGGUCAAAGGUUUGAAUGAACCUUUUCCUAGUCAGUUGGAGACAGAUCCAUCUCUAGACAUGAAAGAACAAUUGAGGUCCUCCAGACGCAGCAGUUCUGAGUUAUCCCCAGAUGCAGUGGGAAAAGCAGGAAUGUCCUCAAAUCAGACUCUCUCUUCGCCAGUACUUGAUGCUAUACCUAGAACACCCUCAAGGGAAAGAAGUAGUUCUGCAUCUUCUCCUGAACUGAAAGAUGAUUUACCCAGAACCCCCUCAAGGAGAAGCAGGUCUGGGUCUUCCCCAGGACUUAGAGAUGGGUCUGGGACUCCCUCAAGGCACAGCUUGUCUGGAUCCUCUCCUGGAAUGAAAGACAUACCCAGAACACCAUCCAGGGGGAGAAGUGAAUGUGAUUCUUCUCCAGAAACAAAAGCUUUGCCUCAGACUCCUAGGCCAAGGAGUCGUUCUCCAUCAUCCCCAGAACUCAAGUGUAUUACCCCCCAGAGAGAAAGAAGUGGGUCAGAAUCAUCAGUUGAACAAAAGACUUCGGGUAGGUCUCCUCUUGGGCAGAGAAGUCGAUCUGGAUCUUCUCAAGAACUUGAUGAGAAACCCAGUGCAUCCACUCAGGAAAGAAGUGAUUCAGACUCUUCUCCAGAUGCUAAAGUUAAAACACGAAUGUCACUUAGACAAAGGAGUCGUUCUGGAUCAUCUCCAGAGGUUGAUAGCAAAUCCCGACCUUCUCCUCAGCUUAGUAGGUCUGGCUCAUCCCCUGAAGUUAAAGAUAAGCCAAGAGCAGCAUCUAGGGCACAGAGUGGUUCUGAUUCCUCUCCUGAACCCAAGGCUCCUGCCCCUCGGGCCCUUCCCAGACGAAGCAGAUCAGGUUCAUCAAGCAAAGGUAGAGGUCCUUCUCCUGAAGGAAGCAGCAGUUCUGAGUCUUCUCCAGAACACCCUCCCAAAUCCAGAAUGGCUAGAAGAAGCUCUAGGUCAUCACCACAGCCCAAGACUAAGUCUCGCACCCCACCUCGUCGUCACAGCUCUCGAUCAUCAGAGAGGGCUAGGAAGACCAGACUCUCCCGUAGAAGUCGUUCUGCAUCUUCCUCACCAGAGACACGUUCUAGAACUCCCCCACGACGCCGACGAAGUCCUUCAGUGUCCUCCCCAGAGCCAGCUGAAAAGUCAAGAUCUUCACGCCGGCGGCGUUCAGCUUCAUCCCCCCGCACUAAGACAACUUCAAGGAGAGGUCGUUCUCCUUCACCAAAGCCUCGUGGGCUCCAGAGGUCCCGUUCCCGGUCAAGGAGGGAGAAAACCAGAACGACCCGACGUCGAGAUAGGUCUGGAUCUUCUCAGUCAACCUCUCGAAGAAGACAGCGGAGCCGUUCAAGGUCUCGGGUUACUCGUAGGCGUAGAGGAGGCUCUGGUUACCACUCAAGGUCUCCUGCCCGGCAAGAGAGUUCACGAACCUCCUCUCGACGUCGAAGAGGUCGCUCUCGGACACCCCCAACCAGUCGGAAGCGUUCCCGCUCACGCACAUCACCAGCCCCAUGGAAGCGUUCCAGGUCUCCCACUCAUCGGCGAUCCAGAUCCAGAACACCCCUGGUCAGCCGACGUAGAUCCAGGUCACGUACUUCACCAGUCAGUCGGAGAAGAUCAAGAUCUAGGACAUCAGUGACACGAAGAAGAUCUCGCUCAAGAGCAUCCCCAGUGAGUCGAAGGCGAUCCAGGUCCAGAACACCACCAGUAACCCGCCGGCGUUCAAGAUCCAGAACACCAGCUCGCCGGCGUUCCCGUUCUAGAACACCACCAGUGACUCGCAGAAGAUCUAGAUCUAGGACUCCACCAGUAAUGAGGAGGCGAUCCCGAAGCAGAACCUCUCCUAUCACUCGCAGAAGAUCCAGAUCCAGAACAUCACCAGUCACCCGCAGGAGAUCUCGAUCUCGCACCAGUCCAAUAACUCGAAGGAGGUCCCGCUCUCGAACCUCUCCAGUGACACGCCGCAGAUCUAGGUCUCGAACACCUCCAGCUAUUCGGCGUCGCUCUAGGUCUCGAACCCCACUUUUGCCACGCAAACGCUCUCGAAGUCGUUCAUCACUUGUCCGCCGUCGUUCUAGAUCUCGUACUCCUCGAAUGACUCGGGGCAAACGGUCCUUAACAAGAUCUCCUCCAGCCAUCCGUAGACGAUCUGUAUCUGGAAGUAGUUCCGAUCGUUCACGUUCUGCUACUCCUCCUGCAACAAGGAAUCAUUCUGGUUCUCGGACACCUCCAGUGGCACUCAAUAGCUCCAGAAUGAGUUGCUUCAGUCGUCCUAGCAUGUCACCAACUCCUCUUGACCGCUGUAGAUCUCCUGGAAUGCUUGAACCCCUUGGCAGCUCUAGAACACCCAUGUCUGUCCUGCAGCAAGCUGGUGGCUCCAUGAUGGAUGGUCCAGGUCCCCGAAUUCCUGAUCACCCUAGAACAUCUGUGCCAGAAAAUCAUGCUCAGUCUAGAAUUGCACUUGCCCUGACAGCCAUCAGUCUUGGCACUGCUCGGCCGCCUCCAUCCAUGUCUGCUGCAGGCCUUGCUGCAAGAAUGUCCCAGGUUCCUGCUCCAGUGCCUCUCAUGAGUCUCAGAACAGCCCCAGCUGCCAGCCUUGCCAGUAGGAUUCCUGCAGCCUCUGCAGCAGCCAUGAACCUGGCCAGUGCCAGGACACCUGCCAUACCAACAGCAGUGAACCUGGCUGACUCGAGAACACCAGCUGCAGCAGCAGCCAUGAACUUGACCAGCCCCAGAACAGCAGUCACACCAUCUGCUGUGAACCUCGCUGACCCGCGCACCCCUACAGCUCCAGCUGUGAACCUACCAGGAGCCAGAACCCCAGCGGCAUUGGCAGCAUUGAGUCUCUCAGGCUCUGGCACACCCCCAAACGCUGCAAACUAUCCAUCCAGCUCCAGAACACCCCAGGCACCAACCCCUGCAAACCUGGUGGGUCCUAGAUCUACACAUGCCACAGCUCCUGUGAAUAUUGCCAGCUCAAGAACCCCGCCAUCCUUGGCCCCUGCAAGCCUCACCAGUGCUAGAAUGGCUCCAGCUUUGUCUGGUGCAAACCUCACCAGCCCCAGGGUGCCCCUCUCUGCCUAUGAGCGCAUUAGUGGCAGAACCUCACCACCGCUCCUUGACCGAGCCAGGUCUAGAACCCCACCGGGAGGCCCAGGCUCCAGAACCCCACCAGCUGCCCCAAGCCAGUCUAGAAUGACCUCUGAGCGGGUUCCCUCUCCAGUUUCUAGAAUGGUUCAGGCUCCUCCCUCACAGUCUGUUCUCCCUCCAGCUCAGGAUCGGCCUAGGUCCCCUGUGCCAUCUGCUCUUUCUGACCAAUCCCGAUCUUUGCUUGCCUCAACGACCCCUGUAGCAGGAUCUCAGUCCCUCUCUUCUGGGUCGGUGGCAAAGACCACAUCCUCUGCUGGUGACCACAAUGGCAUGCUCUCUGUCCCUGCCCCUGGGGGGGCCCACCCUGAGGGCGGGGAACCACCUGCCUCUACGGGGGCCCUGCAGCCAGCAAAGGAGCGGCGGAGUUCCUCCUCCUCCUCCUCAUCUAGUUCCUCCUCGUCAUCGUCGUCAUCCUCCUCCUCCUCCUCCUCCUCUGGCUCCAGUUCUAGUGACUCGGAGGGCUCUAGCCUUCCCCUUCAACCCGAGGUGGCACUGAAGAGGGUCCCUACUCCUCCCCCAGCCCCAAAAGAGACUGAACGAGAGGGACGACCUCAGGAACCAACCCCAGCCAAGAGGAAGAGGCGUGAUAGCAGCUCCAGUUCCAGCUCUUCCUCUUCCUCUUCCUCAUCUUCCUCCUCUUCCUCUUCCUCCUCUUCUUCCUCCUCCUCCUCUUCCUCCUCUUCCUCCUCCUCUUCCUCUUCUACAUCCUCUCCUUCCCCUGCUAAGCCUGACCCUCAGGCCUUGCCCAAACCUGCAAGUCCCAAGAAGCCACCCCCUGGCGAGCGGAGCCUCUUCCCUGUCUCCCUGCCUCCACGCCAUUCUCUUCCACUUGUAGCCAGAGGGAUCUUUCUAAAACGCACAUCUGGUUACUUCCCUCCACUCCACAAAUCCUUCUGGGACGCCCUGUGGCCUGCAGGAUAAAGCCCCAUCUCUGCGGGAAUGGCGUGUGAGGCUCUCCACCAACUGGCCUUGCCUGCCCUGUGUUCUCCUCUCCUGCCCGCCCCCACACAUGCCCUCUGCUCCAGCCACUCCCAGCGCCUUGCAGUCUAAGGAGAACCCCAUGCCUUUGGACAUGCUGUUCCUUCUGCCUGGAAUUCCCUUGUCCGCCUGGUGAACUCCUCGUUCUGCAAGACUCCGCUCAAACAGCACCUUCGAGAAGACUACCCUGCCCCUCCCCUUCAUCUCCCUCCCCUGAGUCCCCAGAUCUACCUAUAUCAGUCCCUGUGGGGCUGCUUCCCACACAUGAGGCUGAGCGUGCCUCUUGGCCUUCCUUCACCACCAGACUGAGCCCCUCCAAGGGCAGGGACUGUCUUUACCUUUGUGUCCCCCACCGUCCCAUCCCCAUGCCCUGCCCACUGGGGCACUCGGUGGAUGGUAUGCGGGCGGAUGGGUGAGUGAGCAGACAAAGGUGGGUCUGAGGCUGGCCCUGUGUGGUAUGAGGUUUGGUGGUUAAGACCUGGGGGGUGGUCCUGAGUGCUGGCUGGUGGGUUUGGAAGAAUGUGGCACUAUGUGGACCUUCUCUGCUCUUUAGGUCCCGCAGCCCCCGGAAGCCAAUAGACUCCCUCCGGGACUCCCGGUCCCUUAGCUAUUCACCUGCCGAGCGCCAACACCCCUCGCCCCAGCCCUCACCACAGGACCAACAGAGGAGCAGCAGCAGUGAGCAUGGUUCCCGGAGAGGUCAG
Molecule: RNA transcript, 9041 nt
Organism: Myotis myotis
Lineage: Eukaryota; Metazoa; Chordata; Mammalia; Chiroptera; Vespertilionidae
Gene: SRRM2
Gene name: serine/arginine repetitive matrix 2
Exons: 14
Source: RefSeq, a predicted model, not a curated record